UUUGUAGGUCUCUUUCACUGCCUUCCCCCCCCCCUUUUUUUUUCCAUUUUAUUCAUUUAUCUCAGAGAGAGAGCAUAAUUGAGGGGGAGAGACAGAGGGAGAAGCAGACUCUCUGCUGAGCAGGGAGCCUGAUGUGGGGCUCUAUCCCAGGACCCUGAGACCAUGACCUGAGCUGAAAGCAGAUGCUUCAUCAACUGAGCCAGCCACCCAGACACCCCUCAUUGCCCCUUUUCUUUUUUUUUUUUUAAGAUUUUAUUUAUUCAUGAGACGCAGAGAGAGAGAGAGAGAGAGAGAGAGAGGCAGAGACACAGGCUCCCUCCAUGCAGGGAGCCUGACGUGGGACUCGAUUCUGGGUCUCCAGGAUCACACCCUCAGCUGAAGGCAGCAGGGCCACCGGGGCUGCCCUGCCCCUUUUAACACAUCAAUUCCUUAUGUCAUUUCAAAAGAAAAAGGCAUAAAGCGUGUAACAGAAACCUGUAUGAAUUAAUUGUAUUGUUUCCUUCUAUUUUUAGAGAGUAAAGAUAUUUUUCUCUUAAGGUAAAACAUCAGCCAUGAGGGAAAGACAGCCGCCAACUUAUUAAAGUGUGAUUAUUAAAGUGUGAUUACUACACCCUCUGUUCCAGGAGUAUAUGCUGUAAGUUAUCUGGUACCUGCACUGCCAUUCCUUCCUUGCCCUCAAGAAGGGUCCCAUCUCAGCCAGGCCAUCUAUCUGUGAUGACAUACCUAGAGCUUUCAGAGUUGUACCAAGCAGAUCUUGAGGUUGAUGGCUCUGCCACCUGUUCUCCUCCACGCCUUCCCACUGCCCUUCGAGGGCUUGAGGAGAAAGAGCAUUAGUAAUGCUCCAGAAAAGAGUUAACAGUGAAGCUGUGAAGUGAGCAUGCAAAAAUUAUCCCUACCUCCAGGACAAAGGAUUCCUAUUUCAACAGGUAAAUCAAAACCUUUUUUGGAGUUAGAAAGUAUGAGACCAGCAAGCUUAUCACUAAUGAGGAUGUAAUUAAACAAAGG
RNAcentral lists this long non-coding RNA (1005 nucleotides) under Vulpes vulpes (red fox). RNAcentral's name for it is "lncRNA (ENSVVUG00000011057.1)". The record is from RNAcentral. Lineage: Eukaryota; Metazoa; Chordata; Mammalia; Carnivora; Canidae.